Molecule: small nucleolar RNA, 108 nt
Organism: Arachis stenosperma
Lineage: Eukaryota; Viridiplantae; Streptophyta; Magnoliopsida; Fabales; Fabaceae
Source: RefSeq, a predicted model, not a curated record
AAUGCAUGAUGAGGGCAUUUUUUCAACAUCUCUUUGUAUCUCUCCCAUGCUUCAUAGAGUGAUUCUCCAUCCUUUGGGGUGAACGUAUGAAUAUCAUUCCUCAACCAU